Molecule: non-coding RNA, 987 nt
Organism: Oryza sativa Japonica Group (Japanese rice)
Lineage: Eukaryota; Viridiplantae; Streptophyta; Magnoliopsida; Poales; Poaceae
Source: RefSeq, a predicted model, not a curated record
GUUGCCUGGCUGGUUGCGGGGCUGGCUCCCCUCCCUCCGUCCCUCUCAGAUUUGGCUGGAUGGGGAGGGGGAGGCCAGUGGCCAGCGGUUUGGGGCGGACCGGCAGCGGCGACGGCGAGGAGAGUGGAGUCGGCGGCGUCUCCCCUCCCUCCUCCCAGAUCCGGUGGUGCGGAGGGCGGUUGCGGCGGCAGCUACCGCCAGUGACGAUAUAUUUAAUCCCUCUUACAAAGUGCCAUAAGGUCAAUUGUUCCACUGUCAGUAAUAUCACCAGUUUUUCAGUACAGUAUGGCAGUAACCUGUGACAGCGGUGGAGUUCGGCGGCUCUCGCCAGCGGUGGAGUGCACGGCAGCGGCGACGGCUGGGGACAACCUCGGCUCCAUCGGCGGCGGCUGAUGGGGAGGACGUCGGCUCGCCAGCGGUGGAGUGCACAGCGGCAACGGUGGCUGGGGACGACCUCGGCUCCAUCGGCGGCGGCGGAUGGGGAGGACGUCGGCUCGCCAGCGGUGAGUGCACGAUGGCGAUGGUGGUGGCGGCGGCGGCGGCGGCGGCGGAAGGGGCCGCCCUUGGCGCUGGCCGCGGCGGAUGGGGCCGGCCAUGGCAGAUGGUAGGAUCCGGCGGCGGCAGGAGAAGAGGUCGGCGUGGGCAGCGGCGGCGGUGCCGGAAGGGGACCUCGGCUCCGGCGGCGGACGGAGAAGAAGGCGGCUCCGGCGAGGAUGCGGCGGCGCGGCGGCAGUACAGAGGAGCGAAGUCUUUGCGCGUGGAUGGGCGAAGUCUUCGCGCGUGGAUGGGGAGUAGUUUUCGCGGCGGUACUCAAUCGUGCGGCGGUGAAAUCGUGCGCGCGGAUGGACGGUAGGGAUUGAUCUGGAUGAUUUCACCUGUAGGAUUGCAAGGAGACAACUCCUCCUUUUUAUAUUAGUAUAGAAAGCAGGGAACAUUCAUCAAUCGCCGUUGUUUAUUUAAUUAGUAUAACCGCAACCGGUUUAUGAA